UGUUUUAAUUAGUUUGCAAUUUUUUUAUUAAUAUAAGUCAAAUAUAGAAUUGAAUUAUAAACAAGUGUUUUAUUUUCUUAUAAACACGUAGAAUUGAUUUCAAGUUCCUAGAAACACACGUGUAUAUUCGUAGUUAACCUUGUAUUUGCUUGCUCAUGUUCUAGGAACACGUGGUUGGAGUUUGGUUCAUGCACUGCCUGCUGAACCGUCACCUCUCAGGGGGCAUGGGAACACUUUCCAUUGUGAAGAAUCAUAAGGGUUUGGAAAGAAAAUUGCUACCUCCACCAUAUUGGAGAUGCUUACCUUCAGGUUGGAGAAAAUUUUGGAUUGUAGUAUAACUUGCUCAAUGUGGUAAGCGCAAAUUUAAGGUUUUAAGUUUUAACUUAUGCUACGAGAUGUUAUUCGCUUAGGAAAAAGCUAUGUUUACGAGUGUAUUGAAUGUAAUUGCAUCCAGUUUUCCAAUUUUUAUCUUUGCAUUGCAUUUUAUUAUAGCCAUCCAUGUGAUGUCUUUAGUUUUAGAUAAAGGAGAAAAAGCAGCAUCGAUAUAAAAAAAAAGGUCAUAUAUAUAUGAGGAUGUGUCUUUGGAAAGAGAUUUUGUUUUUGUGCAACAAAGUCAUGUAUUCUUGAGAAGUGGAAAAAAUAGUAAGAGUUAUGUUCAUA
Molecule: non-coding RNA, 660 nt
Organism: Cajanus cajan (pigeon pea)
Lineage: Eukaryota; Viridiplantae; Streptophyta; Magnoliopsida; Fabales; Fabaceae
Source: RefSeq, a predicted model, not a curated record